Non-coding RNA from Ceratobasidium sp. 394, 89 nucleotides. Lineage: Eukaryota; Fungi; Basidiomycota; Agaricomycetes; Cantharellales; Ceratobasidiaceae. The record is from the annotation of a GenBank genome assembly.
GGCCGGUUGGCUUAAUGGCAAAGCGCCAGUUUCCGGUAUGUUUAUAUGCCUAUAGCUGGAGAUUGCAUGUUCGAGUCCUGCACUGGUCG